This 403-nucleotide ribosomal RNA is filed under the name uncultured bacterium. Its description in RNAcentral is "partial 16S ribosomal RNA". It matches the Rfam family "Bacterial small subunit ribosomal RNA", at positions 30 to 526 of the family's 1533-position model. The record is from RNAcentral.
AUUGAACGCUGGCGGCAUGCCUAACACAUGCAAGUCGAGCGAGCGGCGGACGGGUGAGUAAUGUCUGGUGACUUCCCGAUAGAGGUGGGUAACUCCUGGAAACGGUAGCUAAUACCGCAUACUAUCGGCUUAACCAUAUGGGAUGAGCUAGUAGGUGAGGUAAGGGCUCACCUAGGCGACGAUCCCUAGCUGGUAUGAGAGGAUGAGCAGCCACACUGGGACGGAGACACGGCCCAGACUCCUACGGAGGCAGAAGUGGGGAAGAUUGCACAAUGGGGGCAAGCCUGAUGCAGCCAUGCCGCGUGUAUGAAGAAGGCCCUAGGGUUGUAAAGUACUUGCAGUAGGGAGGCGUUACCGACAGAAGAAGCACCGGCUAACUCCGUGCCAGCAGCCGCGGUAAUUC